RNAcentral lists this ribosomal RNA (481 nucleotides) under uncultured bacterium. RNAcentral describes it as "partial 16S ribosomal RNA". It matches the Rfam family "Bacterial small subunit ribosomal RNA", at positions 28 to 506 of the family's 1533-position model. The record is from RNAcentral.
GACGAACGCUGGCGGCGUGCCUAACACAUGCAAGUCGAACGGAACUGUUUUGAAAGAUUUCUUCGGAAUGAAUUUGAUUUAGUUUAGUGGCGGACGGGUGAGUAACGCGUGAGUAACCUGCCUUCAAGAGGGGAAUAACAUUCUGAAAAGAAUGCUAAUACCGCAUGACAUAUCGGAACCACAUGGUUUUGAUAUCAAAGAUUUUAUCGCUUGAAGAUGGACUCGCGUCCGAUUAGUUAGUUGGUGAGGUAACGGCUCACCAAGACCGCGAUCGGUAGCCGGACGGAGAGGUUGAACGGCCAAAGUGGGACGGAGACACGGCCCAGACCCCUACGGGAGGCAGCAGUGGGGGAUAUUGCGAAAUGGGGGAAACCCUGACGCAGCAACGCCGGGUAAAGGAUGAAGGUUUUCGGAUUGUAAACUUUUUUUAUAAAGGACGAAAAAUGACGGUAUUAAAUGAAAAAGCCGCGGAUAAUUACGU